ACGGCCUCAUCACGUUAAAACACCGGUUCACUUACGAUCACCGAAGAUAAGCAACAUCGGGCCUGACCAGUACCUAGAUGGUUGAUCGCGUGGGAAUAACAGAUAGUGUA
Non-coding RNA from Acanthosepion pharaonis, 110 nucleotides. The record is from the annotation of a GenBank genome assembly. Lineage: Eukaryota; Metazoa; Mollusca; Cephalopoda; Sepiida; Sepiidae.